Molecule: unclassified non-coding RNA, 3491 nt
Filed under: Leishmania donovani
Lineage: Eukaryota; Euglenozoa; Kinetoplastea; Trypanosomatida; Trypanosomatidae
Description: gene:LdHU3.17.1560(CDS-product:Glycosyltransferas e_(GlcNAc)_putative)
Source: RNAcentral
GAGGAAAGGUCUUGCUCAUACCUUGAGGGCGGUACAUACAAGCGCCGACAAACUGCAAGCAAAAGCCGACUCGCGCGUAUACAUGCACUGGCGUGUAUGCAUGCCUGUGCGUAACCCGCCUUGUGCGCUUUUCUUCCACAUCCGCAACAUCUGCCUCAUUCUUUUUCGUGUCGCCUGACUGGACGCGCGCGGUGUCGGCGACAGUCGCUUUCUGGCUCUCACCAACACAUAUACACACACCGGUAUAAAUCUCUAUAUCUGUACUCAUCUCUCUAUGGAUACAGACGGACCUGAGUGCGCGUGCCUAUUCAUCAUUGAAACCAUCAACGCGAACAUCAACACUCCCCCGACGAAAAAGCGUUUCGACGCAACCGCGAACGGAACGGGAAAAUGCCAGACUAUGGCCAGGUGCCAAGCUUGCUCAAGCGGCCUCUGCGCAUGCCGCGGCGUCGCCUCAGCGCGCGUCGGCGACAGGCUCUUAUAGCCUUCAUCGCCAUUCUAUGUCUGUGUGGGCUUCCUUUUAUGUACUUCUUCUCGACCUCGUCGGCAACCGCGCUGGGCGAGCUUCCUGAUCCGAGAGAAAAGCCGUGGAUCACCUCCGAUGAGAACUCGACACGUUUCGAGCACAUCGUACACGGCCGCACCCCGGGGACGGCGUGGCGUGAUCCUCGCUUCAACAUGAUCUUCUCCUUCUCCAAGUCUGGCGACGUUGUGCACGUGACUCCCACCAAUUACGUCCGCCACCGCCGAGGCAGUGAUGACAGCCCUGGCACGUUCCGCAAGUGGGAAUCCAUCUACCAGCCUAGCGACAAGUACCGCAUCCCUGCCUGGGCCACGCCGGCGGACCGCGACGCGCUGCACCACGCGUCUAUCUUUACUUCCUUGGCCGCGUUUCGCGACCACGAGUGCGCGCUGACGCUGCGCAACCUGUUCGACAUGGCUGUUGCGCCGCACCGCCUGUACGUUGGCGUGAGCGAGGAGCGCAGCCCGUCGGACGCGAGCUGCUUCUCGAGCAUUGGCGUAGACGACCUGGCGAGCGGCGAGACGCGGCGUGUGCUGUACGGCGCGGAAGCGCCGCGCACGCUUGGCUUGGAGGUGCGCUCGCUGACGUGGGCAGACGUGGUCGCGCCGCGGCAGUUGCUGGACGUGGAUGCCGCGUUGAGCGUGCCCACCGACGGUGUUGCGGAAUAUGGCGCGCGGCCUGCUGGCGUGUUUUUGCACCCGGCGCACGCAGGGGAGCGGGUGACAUGCGUUGCCGGGGAGCUGGAGACGGCGCGUGACAGGUUGCUGUUAGCGGAGGACGACGCGAGGCAAGGCAUGGAUGGCGGGUCUGUGUUCCGGCGCGGGCGCGGGGGCCCCCAGCAGCAGCCGUCGCGCGCACUGGCUGGGUGCCGCGUGACGACGCGCGUGGCGGAGCCCGCGUUUGCGCGCGGGCCGACGUUUGGGCGGUACAUCACGAGCCUGUUCUUUUUCGACCAGGACUACUACAUGGUAGUGGACAGUCACACGCGGUUUUCUGUGGACUGGGACAUGAAGCUGAUCACGCGCGUGUUUCAGCUGCCGACGCGCGGCGUGCUGUCGCACUACCCGAACGGCUACCGCGAGGGGCACGACCGUGAGGAGUUCGACAAGAAGAUCGUUAUGCUGAUGUGCACAGCGCAGGUGCUCAGCAACGGCAUGCCAAAACUUGGGGCGCGGUGGAUGAAGUUGUCGCCGCACCCGGUCCUGCAGGGCUUCGCGGCUGCGGGCUUCAUGUUCGGCGACGCGCAGUUCAUGCUGGACACGCCGUUCGACCCUUUCCUGCCGUACAUGUUCGACGGCGAGGAGGUGCUGUACUCUGCGCGGAUGUGGACUGCCGGCUGGGAUCUCUACGGACCUGGGCAGCCGGACGUGUUUCACCACUACGGGCGACCGAACACGCCGAAAUACUUUGGGAUCAUGACGCCGAAGGAGGCUGCGCGGCGUGUGCUGUCAGAGCAGCGGACGCUAUACAUGCUGCGGCGCGCGCACCCGUGGAUUGAGGAGCUUGUACGCCGCGGCUACGUGAGCGCUAACGGGCAGUCGACUCUGAAGCCGCUGCCGCUGGAGGAGGCGCCGGAGACGCGGCUUAUCGUGACGGACGAAGUUGCUGCUGAGACGCGCGAGAUCAGCGUGUGGGCGAAAUACUACGGGAUGGGCACAGAGCGGUCUGUGUCGGCUUACUGGCAGCACACGGAGCUGUCCGACGCGUUUGUGAAGGCGAAGGACGAGGAGAACAGGUGGCUGGGUGGCUUUGGGUUGUGCCAAAAAGGCGGCGCCAUGGCGUGAGGUGCACCUGCCACGCCGUGGAGCGAAGAUGUGCGGAGGGCGGUCUAGGGAAGGGACACAAGCGAGAAGGGGAGGGACGAGCUCAAGGCGGCAAGUUUCUGCUAACGGCCUCCGGCGCUGCGUCCGUUCUUGGGGGCGCUCCUCUUAUGCUUAUAUCUGUGUACGUCUCUCUUUCUCUCUCUGUUUUUUUUUUUUUUCGGGGAGGGGGAGGAGGAGGGGAUGUGACCGAGCGGCAGCAGCAGCACGGUUGGGCGUGGCGUCAGCUGGCGCUGGUGAGGCGUGCGAGAGGAGGAAGGCAGCAUGCAACGUCCACAGCCAAACGUGCUCGCGUGCAGAUAUGCUGGCGUGUGUAUUGGGUGUUUGAUCCAUGUUUGCACGGCACCUCACGAUCUCUCUCUUUAUCUCCCUUUUGCUUUUCUUUUUGGCGUGCCCUCUUCUCUGCCUCUCACUCUCUGGCUUCCACCGCGUCUCCUUGCUACGAAUCUUGCUUGGGUGUCACGUCUCUGACGUCGAUUCUCCCCCCUUCCUCUCCGUACUUUCGCUGUUACGCGCCGCUGGCCUGGCACAGGUGCGUCGGAGGGAGGGGCUCGAGCACACCGCCAUCCAUUCCCUCCAUCACACGCUUGCAUGUGGGCAGGGGGGCUUCUGGUUGUGGCAGCGCACGGCCGAGUGCAGAGCACCGCUUGUCGCUCGGGUUCUUUUUCCGGCACGCUCCGGCGCGCUCUCCUCGCCGUGCCCACACGCCAGCAAGCUUACGCGCGCGUCUCAAAGAACAACACCAAAGAGGGCGUCUCUGUGGCGACUCCGCCCUUUUCGUUCGCGUUAUUCCCAAUCCCCCCCUCCCCCGCCCGCCAGCCGUGCGGAUUACUGAGGUGCUCGUCUCAGAAUGACGCGUUGAAAGGGAGCGAAUUCCCCACCUCCUUUCCAAAAAUAGAGAAAAUCAAGGGAAUUCCAACCCUGCCCGACACGCUUGUGAGCCCUCGCCAUUGCUGCGCUUCGAUGCUCUCGUGGCCUUCAUGGAAUGGUUGCCUCAGCGCCCACCGUGAGCGCGAUCACGCAGCCGCGACACGCACGGUCGCUUACGGCACUUUACCACCCUCCCUCCCAACCGCCUCUUUUCCCGUUCUCUCGUCUUCAUGGCGGCCGUGCCCCCUCGUCUGGGAGGCGACUGUCUUCUUUUUCAG